Molecule: unclassified non-coding RNA, 707 nt
Filed under: Athalia rosae (coleseed sawfly)
Lineage: Eukaryota; Metazoa; Arthropoda; Insecta; Hymenoptera; Athaliidae
Description: misc RNA ENSAEAG00005007550.1
Source: RNAcentral
GUGCAACUUUUUACAGCCCUAAUCCGUAGCGUUUCAGAUAGUCCCUGACGUAAUUUCGGGCGAAAAUUUUUCAACCGCCAAAUAGUAGAAAAAGAAACACACACUCGUACUUUCUACUCGUAGACGUAGCGGGACUCCGUUCUUUUUCUCCUACUUCCUAAACUGACCUCAGGGCAUCCCCCGCGUUAAACUGUACGCCACACCGUACACUAUUACACACACUACACUCUCGUCGACCCACGUGAAACAAUUUCUCCACAUUGUAAUAUAACGUAGUGACUAACUAAUUACAGAUCUAACGUCCACACUGCGUUCACCGGUUCACCUUAUAUGUCCCGGUGACCAACUGUCACUUCUUUUCGUCAAAAUCUUUAUUCGUUUUGAAAAGUUCGAUUUCCACUGUAUACCAAAUUCCUUGUCAAUUUCACCUAGAAACUUUUGUCGACUGUUCAAAAGCAACGGAAGAUCACUCGAUUCGAUUCAAAUUUUGGGCGAUCGAUCCGAUUGGUCCGUCAACCACGAACUAUGUAGUACUCAGACGCGCUCGCGACGUGAAAAAAAUUCGACGGAGAUCUCUCGAUCGAAUCGAACGCGGUGAUGAUUUCAUUACAGGUGUAACGAAAUACCGUGUAAAGUUUCUAGUUUUUACAACUUCACUAUGCGUGUACCCGGAGCGAUAAGCGGUUAUCUCAUCGGGAACAAACGUU